GAAAUGCGAUAGUAAUGUGAAUUGCAGAAUUCAGUGAAUCAUCGAAUCUUUGAACGCACAUUGCGCCCCUUGUGUAUUCCGAGGGGCAUGCCUGUUCGAGCGUCAUUACAACCCUCAAGCAUUGCUUGGUAUUGGGUUCCGCUGCUCACCCAGCGGGCCUUAAAGUCAGUGGCGGUGCCGUCGGGCCCUGAGCGUAGUAAACCUCCUCGCUAUAGGGACCCGGUGGACGCUGGCCAUCAACCCCCUCACUUUCUAAGUUUGACCUCGGAUCAGGUAGGGAUACCCGCUGAACUUAAGCAUAUCAAUAAGCGGAGGAAAAGAAACCAACAGGGAUUGCCUCAGUAACGGCGAGUGAAGCGGCAACAGCUCAAAUUUGAAAUCUGGCUCUUUCAGGGUCCGAGUUGUAAUUUGUAGAAGAUGCUUCGGGUGUGGCUCCGGUCUAAGUUCCUUGGAACAGGACGUCAUAGAGGGUGAGAAUCCCGUAUGUGACUGGCUGCCUUCGCCUAUGUGAAGCUCUUUCGACGAGUCGAGUUGUUUGGGAAUGCAGCUCAAAAUGGGUGGUAAAUUUCAUCUAAAGCUAAAUAUUGGCCAGAGACCGAUAGCGCACAAGUAGAGUGAUCGAAAGAUGAAAAGCACUUUGGAAAGAGAGUUAAACAGUACGUGAAAUUGUUGAAAGGGAAGCGCUUGCAACCAGACUUGCACUUGGUCGAUCAUCCGAGGUUCUCCCCGGUGCACUCGAUCUCGUUCAGGCCAGCAUCGGUUCAGGUGGUGGGAUAAAGGCCUUGGGAAUGUAGCUUCUUUCGGGGAGUGUUAUAGCCCUCGGUGCAAUGCCGCCUACCUGGACCGAGGACCGCGCUUCGGCUAGGAUGCUGGCGUAAUG
Molecule: ribosomal RNA, 880 nt
Filed under: uncultured Helotiales
Lineage: Eukaryota; Fungi; Ascomycota; Leotiomycetes; Helotiales
Description: eukaryotic LSU rRNA
Rfam family: Eukaryotic large subunit ribosomal RNA (bases 260-880)
Source: RNAcentral